AAUGGUGAUUGGGUGGAGCAUGCUUUGCCGCAACAGUUUGUAAAUGAAUUUAAGGAUGGUCGCUUUGUAACUACUCCAGUCUCCCACUCUGGAGGUUAAUACUUACUGCGUUUCCAGUUUCUUAUUUUGUUUUCUAGGAUGGCUGACGGUUGGCUUCAACACAAUUUUUUUUUAUCUCCUUGGUUCAAUUUGCUGCUGAUACUCUUGGUUGUUCUCAUGUUUAUUCCUUGGGUAUAACCAACAUUUGGAAAUUUCUGCAUUACAUUUUUUUGAUGUUUGUUUCUAGGCCUGUCUCGUUGUGAGGGUUUUGUGAUUCUGAUUGUGUUGUAACGAGAAACGAAGUUUUGUAUUAUUUUUGUAGAUUUUUCUUACCUAAACUUGGUCUAACAUGGAUCCAAGAUGCAAUAUGUAUGAUGAAACCUAUGUUUAUAUUUUGGAUCUACAAUGGACCAAAUUUAGGUGGAAAUUUUUCAAUUUUUGACGCUCAAAAUAACCUUUAUUCCCAAGC
RNAcentral lists this unclassified non-coding RNA (508 nucleotides) under Hevea brasiliensis (rubber tree). The record is from RNAcentral. Lineage: Eukaryota; Viridiplantae; Streptophyta; Magnoliopsida; Malpighiales; Euphorbiaceae.